UACGUAGGUGGCAAGCGUUGUCCGGAAUUACUGGGUGUAAAGGGAGCGCAGGCGGGACUGCAAGUUGGAUGUGAAAUACCGAGGCUCAACCUCGGGGCUGCAUCCAAAACUGUAGUUCUUGAGUGAAGUAGAGGUAGGCGGAAUUCCGAGUGUAGCGGUGAAAUGCGUAGAUAUUCGGAGGAACACCAGUGGCGAAGGCGGCCUACUGGGCUUUAACUGACGCUGAGGCUCGAAAGUGUGGGGAGCAAACAGG
RNAcentral lists this ribosomal RNA (253 nucleotides) under uncultured bacterium. RNAcentral's name for it is "partial 16S ribosomal RNA". It matches the Rfam family "Bacterial small subunit ribosomal RNA", at positions 524 to 776 of the family's 1533-position model. The record is from RNAcentral.